This 301-nucleotide ribosomal RNA is filed under the name uncultured bacterium. RNAcentral describes it as "partial 16S ribosomal RNA". It matches the Rfam family "Bacterial small subunit ribosomal RNA", at positions 509 to 809 of the family's 1533-position model. The record is from RNAcentral.
CAGUCGCCGCGGGAAUACGUAGGGUGCAAGCGUUAAUCGGAAUUACUGGGCGUAAAGCGUGCGCAGGCGGUUUGUUAAGACAGAUGUGAAAUCCCCGGGCUCAACCUGGGAACUGCAUUUGUGACUGGCAAGCUAGAGUGUGGCAGAGGGGGGUGGAAUUCCGCGUGUAGCAGUGAAAUGCGUAGAUAUACGGAGGAACACCGAUGGCGAAGGCAGCCCCCUGGGCCAACACUGACGCUCAUGCACGAAAGCGUGGGGAGCAAACAGGAUUAGAUACCCCUGUAGUCCCUGUCUCUUAUAA